Molecule: long non-coding RNA, 1289 nt
Organism: Brassica oleracea var. oleracea
Lineage: Eukaryota; Viridiplantae; Streptophyta; Magnoliopsida; Brassicales; Brassicaceae
Exons: 2
Source: RefSeq, a predicted model, not a curated record
AGGAGCAGUCCCUAAUUAAGGAUUAAAAUGAAUAUAUCCUUGUUGACGUGGCCUUCUUCGUUUUCGCAUUUUCUGUAGUCUCUCUCUCUCUGGUCUCUCUUUCUCCGUCACUCACUCUCUCACAAUUGAAUUUUUUUUUGUGUUGUGAUUGUGUGUUGAUGUUCUCAAUAAAUCUCUCUCCUUUGUUUCAAGAGAAAUCGUGUUGUUGAUGGUGCUCGAUUGCUGCUUCGUACUCUUCCAAAUCUGUGCCCAGCCAAGAGCGAGAAGGAAAUCGAAGAAUGAUUUCAGAACAACUAUGUUUGAGAGGAAGAAGUCUCCUAAUCGACUUGUUGUCGACGAAGCCAUCAUCAAAAGAAUCUGAGUUUGUGUAUCCUCCUUUCGAUUUCCAUUUUUUGUUACUGCUGAGUCGAUUUCGUUUCACAUAUGACAUCGGAGAAUGGCGUUGUUCUGGUUCAAACUUGUUAAUGAAGUAGAUAGAUGCAUUGAAGCUUCACUUGAAUUGAGAUGAGAAAUUGUGUGAUUUGAUAGAUAGAUGCAUGUGUAUGAUGAAUUUGAAUGUUCUGGCAUGCUCACAAGGAUCUCACAUGCUCUGAAAUUUAGUGUUCACCUGAUGUUUGAAUCUCUCAGAAUGAGAAUGUACGUUUUGUUUUUGCUGGAGUGUUAAUGUUAAAGAUCGCUCUAUCUAAUGCUAUACAUGUUCUUAUUUUUUGGUAGAAAUAUUUAAUAUACAUGUUGCAGAAGUUAUACAAGCUGGUUUGGUCUACAUGUCUUGACAGGAAAACAAGAAGAAGACAAGAAGAAACAAAAGUGGCGCAUCUUCUCCUCAUUGUUUCGUUUGAUGAUAUGCAGAGAGCCAUGCCUACUUUCUCUUCAAUUGCUUUGGAUAGAAUGCUAGAGCCAGGUGCUAGGAUUUAGACGAUUUGGUUUUAUCUGUACUGUUUUUUUCUUUCAGGCCUUUGAAGCUAUACAAAAGAUACUGAGCAUGAGCAAAAACAAGAGGGUUGAUGUUGUUUUACUGGACCGACAGAAAUAGGAGUUCAUCAUCUUUAUCGGUUGAAACUGAAGCUUUUUCCUGAUGAAUCAACUGAAACAAAACCGUGUGCUGAAACACAACGGCACUUGGAGUUGCUUGGAAAAAUUAUUCUCAUUGUCUGAGUUUGUAUGCUUGUGAUAAUCUCUGUUUUGUCAGUCUCAUUGUCUGAGUUUGUAUGCUUGUGAUAAUCUCUUUUUAUAGAUUGUCCGAGCAGAAAGUACAUCUGAAAUCUGGGGAUUAUAUGCGAGAUGGAGUA